UUAAGCGACUAAGCGUACACGGUGGAUGCCCUGGCAGUCAGAGGCGAUGAAGGACGUGCUAAUCUGCGAUAAGCGUCGGUAAGGUGAUAUGAACCGUUAUAACCGGCGAUUUCCGAAUGGGGAAACCCAGUGUGAUUCGUCACACUAUCAUUAACUGAAUCCAUAGGUUAAUGAGGCGAACCGGGGGAACUGAAACAUCUAAGUACCCCGAGGAAAAGAAAUCAACCGAGAUUCCCCCAGUAGCGGCGAGCGAACGGGGAGCAGCCCAGAGCCUGAAUCAGUGUGUGUGUUAGUGGAAGCGUCUGGAAAGGCGCGCGAUACAGGGUGACAGCCCCGUACACAAAAAUGCACAUAUUGUGAGCUCGAUGAGUAGGGCGGGACACGUGGUAUCCUGUCUGAAUAUGGGGGGACCAUCCUCCAAGGCUAAAUACUCCUGACUGACCGAUAGUGAACCAGUACCGUGAGGGAAAGGCGAAAAGAACCCCGGCGAGGGGAGUGAAAAAGAACCUGAAACCGUGUACGUACAAGCAGUGGGAGCACGCUUAGGCGUGUGACUGCGUACCUUUUGUAUAAUGGGUCAGCGACUUAUAUUCUGUAGCAAGGUUAACCGAAUAGGGGAGCCGAAGGGAAACCGAGUCUUAACUGGGCGUUAAGUUGCAGGGUAUAGACCCGAAACCCGGUGAUCUAGCCAUGGGCAGGUUGAAGGUUGGGUAACACUAACUGGAGGACCGAACCGACUAAUGUUGAAAAAUUAGCGGAUGACUUGUGGCUGGGGGUGAAAGGCCAAUCAAACCGGGAGAUAGCUGGUUCUCCCCGAAAGCUAUUUAGGUAGCGCCUCGUGAAUUCAUCUCCGGGGGUAGAGCACUGUUUCGGCAAGGGGGUCAUCCCGACUUACCAACCCGAUGCAAACUGCGAAUACCGGAGAAUGUUAUCACGGGAGACACACGGCGGGUGCUAACGUCCGUCGUGAAGAGGGAAACAACCCAGACCGCCAGCUAAGGUCCCAAAGUCAUGGUUAAGUGGGAAACGAUGUGGGAAGGCCCAGACAGCCAGGAUGUUGGCUUAGAAGCAGCCAUCAUUUAAAGAAAGCGUAAUAGCUCACUGGUCGAGUCGGCCUGCGCGGAAGAUGUAACGGGGCUAAACCAUGCACCGAAGCUGCGGCAGCGACGCUUAUGCGUUGUUGGGUAGGGGAGCGUUCUGUAAGCCUGCGAAGGUGUGCUGUGAGGCAUGCUGGAGGUAUCAGAAGUGCGAAUGCUGACAUAAGUAACGAUAAAGCGGGUGAAAAGCCCGCUCGCCGGAAGACCAAGGGUUCCUGUCCAACGUUAAUCGGGGCAGGGUGAGUCGACCCCUAAGGCGAGGCCGAAAGGCGUAGUCGAUGGGAAACAGGUUAAUAUUCCUGUACUUGGUGUUACUGCGAAGGGGGACGGAGAAGGCUAUGUUGGCCGGGCGACGGUUGUCCCGGUUUAAGCGUGUAGGCUGGUUUUCCAGGCAAAUCCGGAAAAUCAAGGCUGAGGCGUGAUGACGAGGCACUACGGUGCUGAAGCAACAAAUGCCCUGCUUCCAGGAAAAGCCUCUAAGCAUCAGGUAACAUCAAAUCGUACCCCAAACCGACACAGGUGGUCAGGUAGAGAAUACCAAGGCGCUUGAGAGAACUCGGGUGAAGGAACUAGGCAAAAUGGUGCCGUAACUUCGGGAGAAGGCACGCUGAUAUGUAGGUGAAGUCCCUUGCGGAUGGAGCUGAAAUCAGUCGAAGAUACCAGCUGGCUGCAACUGUUUAUUAAAAACACAGCACUGUGCAAACACGAAAGUGGACGUAUACGGUGUGACGCCUGCCCGGUGCCGGAAGGUUAAUUGAUGGGGUUAGCGCAAGCGAAGCUCUUGAUCGAAGCCCCGGUAAACGGCGGCCGUAACUAUAACGGUCCUAAGGUAGCGAAAUUCCUUGUCGGGUAAGUUCCGACCUGCACGAAUGGCGUAAUGAUGGCCAGGCUGUCUCCACCCGAGACUCAGUGAAAUUGAACUCGCUGUGAAGAUGCAGUGUACCCGCGGCAAGACGGAAAGACCCCGUGAACCUUUACUAUAGCUUGACACUGAACAUUGAGCCUUGAUGUGUAGGAUAGGUGGGAGGCUUUGAAGUGUGGACGCCAGUCUGCAUGGAGCCGACCUUGAAAUACCACCCUUUAAUGUUUGAUGUUCUAACGUUGACCCGUGAUCCGGGUUGCGGACAGUGUCUGGUGGGUAGUUUGACUGGGGCGGUCUCCUCCUAAAGAGUAACGGAGGAGCACGAAGGUUGGCUAAUCCUGGUCGGACAUCAGGAGGUUAGUGCAAUGGCAUAAGCCAGCUUGACUGCGAGCGUGACGGCGCGAGCAGGUGCGAAAGCAGGUCAUAGUGAUCCGGUGGUUCUGAAUGGAAGGGCCAUCGCUCAACGGAUAAAAGGUACUCCGGGGAUAACAGGCUGAUACCGCCCAAGAGUUCAUAUCGACGGCGGUGUUUGGCACCUCGAUGUCGGCUCAUCACAUCCUGGGGCUGAAGUAGGUCCCAAGGGUAUGGCUGUUCGCCAUUUAAAGUGGUACGCGAGCUGGGUUUAGAACGUCGUGAGACAGUUCGGUCCCUAUCUGCCGUGGGCGCUGGAGAAUUGAGGGGGGCUGCUCCUAGUACGAGAGGACCGGAGUGGACGCAUCACUGGUGUUCGGGUUGUCAUGCCAAUGGCACUGCCCGGUAGCUAAAUGCGGAAGAGAUAAGUGCUGAAAGCAUCUAAGCACGAAACUUGCCCCGAGAUGAGUUCUCCCUGACUCCUUGAGAGUCCUGAAGGAACGUUGAAGACGACGACGUUGAUAGGCCGGGUGUGUAAGCGCAGCGAUGCGUUGAGCUAACCGGUACUAAUGAACCGUGAGGCUUAACCUU
RNAcentral lists this ribosomal RNA (2901 nucleotides) under Escherichia coli DEC15C. Its description in RNAcentral is "bacterial LSU rRNA". It matches the Rfam family "Bacterial large subunit ribosomal RNA". The record is from RNAcentral. Lineage: Bacteria; Pseudomonadati; Pseudomonadota; Gammaproteobacteria; Enterobacterales; Enterobacteriaceae.